CUGGUCCACAUGCGUGGUGAUGCAGGCCACCAUCAGCGCCGUCUCCCCCUUCUCGUUGCUCUCAUUGAUGUAGGCCCCCCCCUCCAGCAGCAGCCGGGUCAGCCGCAGCCGGCCCAGCCACACUGCCUUCAGGAGGGAGUUCCCCCCGGUCUGCAGCUCCGUCGCCUCAUCCAUGGCAUGCAGGGCUCACGGCAGCUGGGGAGGAAUGGGAUGGAGAGGUGUGCUGGUUGCCAGCCCUGCAAGCACCAAUCAAUGCCGAUUGCUGAACAGCUUCACCUGGAUCCCCACACCCCCUGCUAUGGGCUGGGAGCCCUAUUUAAAGGCAGGCCCUGAGCUUGUGCUCAGCUCUGUGGGAUUAUCUUUGUUUGUUGGACUUGUGGAUAGAGUUUGCUGUUCUGCAUUCUCCUGGUGAUCUCUCUUGUGUGACCCAUAGCUGUUAGCAGCCUACUCCUGCCCUACAGCAGGGCAAGGCUCCUCC
This is a long non-coding RNA of Tympanuchus pallidicinctus (lesser prairie-chicken), 478 nucleotides long. RefSeq lists it as uncharacterized. Lineage: Eukaryota; Metazoa; Chordata; Aves; Galliformes; Phasianidae. The transcript has 3 exons. The record is from RefSeq and is a predicted model, not a curated record.